RNAcentral lists this transfer RNA (60 nucleotides) under Mycetomoellerius zeteki. Its description in RNAcentral is "Trachymyrmex zeteki tRNA". It matches the Rfam family "tRNA", at positions 7 to 64 of the family's 71-position model. From Rfam's summary of the family: Transfer RNA (tRNA) molecules are approximately 80 nucleotides in length. Their secondary structure includes four short double-helical elements and three loops (D, anti-codon, and T loops). Lineage: Eukaryota; Metazoa; Arthropoda; Insecta; Hymenoptera; Formicidae. The record is from Rfam by way of RNAcentral.
GUGGUCUAAAGGCUUAGGACGCUUGCCCGGAAAGCAAGAGAUCCAGGUUCAACUCCCGGC